AUGAGUCCCUCUCUCUCUCUCCUUCCCACAGGCAGACUUGUAGACGCCACUCUAGCUUUUUUAGCGUUAAGAGUAGGAAGCAGUCACUACAAAGGCAUGUCUACAUUGCAGGCAGAGCUGGGAUUGCACCACAUGAAGACACACUUGGGUUACCUAUUCUGCCAGCGCCGGGACACCGCGUGCUUAGCAGUGCCCUCACCCUGCGCUAAGCUGCAGCCUCCCACAACUCCAUUGCCCUUCCCAGCUGGGUUCCCACAUGUGUAUUUCCACAGAUGCACAUCCAGCAGACCUCCCGCUGAAUUAAUAAAAUUAUGCACUGGAUGAUUUUCAACUCUUCUAUUUCCUCCCUUCCACCAAGCAAAAGGAUUGAAAAAACACUGAUAAACAGAAGAACAGAAAUGGAAAAUAGAACAGAAAAGAUCUGUGCUAGGACACCUUGGGGGCAAUCCUGAAUGUUGUCCCUCUUUAAAUACUUUCUAAGAAAGCCAUUUUUCAUCCUGCAAAUAAUUAUGAGGACCUGUCAUCCAUCACCUAAAGGAAAUUUCUUCAUUAAAAUCCAUUUGUCGUGU
Molecule: long non-coding RNA, 569 nt
Filed under: Chloebia gouldiae (Gouldian finch)
Lineage: Eukaryota; Metazoa; Chordata; Aves; Passeriformes; Passeridae
Description: Erythrura gouldiae (Gouldian finch) lncRNA (ENSEGOG00005000772.1)
Source: RNAcentral